CCUACGGGAGGCAGCAGUGAGGAAUACUGGUCAAUGGACGAGAGUCUGAACCAGCCAAGUAACGUGAAGGAUGACUGCCCUAUGGGUUGUAAACUUCUUUUAUAUGGGAAUAAAAUGUUCCACGUGUGGGAUUUUGUAUGUACCAUAUGAAUAAGGAUCGGCUAACUCCGUGCCAGCAGCCGCGGUAAUACGGAGGAUCCGAGCGUUAUCCGGAUUUAUUGGGUUUAAAGGGAGCGUAGGUGGAUUGUUAAGUCAGUUGUGAAAGUUUGCGGCUCAACCGUAAAAUUGCAGUUGAAACUGGCAGUCUUGAGUACAGUAGAGGUGGGCGGAAUUCGUGGUGUAGCGGUGAAAUGCUUAGAUAUCACGAAGAACUCCGAUUGCGAAGGCAGUUCACUGGACUGCAACUGACACUGAGGCUCGAAAGUGUGGGUAUCAAACAGGAUUAGAUACCCGGGUAGUC
RNAcentral lists this ribosomal RNA (460 nucleotides) under uncultured bacterium. RNAcentral's name for it is "partial 16S ribosomal RNA". It matches the Rfam family "Bacterial small subunit ribosomal RNA", at positions 338 to 795 of the family's 1533-position model. The record is from RNAcentral.